This is a long non-coding RNA of Thrips palmi, 1511 nucleotides long. RefSeq lists it as uncharacterized. The transcript has 7 exons. The record is from RefSeq and is a predicted model, not a curated record. NCBI's taxonomy places the organism in Eukaryota, Metazoa, Arthropoda, Insecta, Thysanoptera, Thripidae.
AAAGUCGUAACGGACGCGGGCCUGACUCGAGUUCUGUCAGUAUAUUGAUGCGAUUCUUGGUGUUUCAAGUUCAUAAUGUAUUGUUUUGGACUUUAUUCCCCGUUUAAAAUCGCCAUCAUAGCGCUUUUGAGUCCACCGAUGAAGCCCGACGGAGGAAAGAGACAAGGAGAGAGGGAGGACUGGUUGGGACUGGUCGCGUCGGCUCUCCCUGGUUUGACUACUUCCGAAUUUCUUACUCUGCACGUUCACCCAUCGUUUUCCUACAGAUGCCCUGUUUGACACUUAAUCAUUUCAAAUGAGGGAAGAUUGUGAGGACUUUGGGCUCGGCCUAUUGAAACUGUUUGAACGGUGCUUUAUCUUGCCCUUGAAAUCUACACUCCAUUGAGUCACGCCCAGAGUGGCUACUUAAAGGAUAUCUUGCAUGUUGGCCGACUGAUACGAUACAAAGAUCUGUCAGGUAUGAUGGUUAAAGCAGCUUUUGUUGAGGUUUGUUGAGACUGGUAACGUCAUCAUUGAAACAUGUUGUUGAAGAGCAAGAGAAACAGAGUCACCGAAUGGCAGCAGCGGGUACAUACAGUUGACAGCACCCUCUGCCUGUGGGUUUAAAAUGCGGACAAAGAAUGCCAACUAUAUUUGGUCCUUCGGUUAGAGUUCAGGAGUGCAGGAUGGUGACGUUGAAAAUGUCAAGAUUAAAAUAUGCAGUUUGAAGAGCCAGAGAAACAGUGUCAGCGAUCAGCAGCGGUACCUGCCAAGAGCAAGAGUUGAAAGCACUCACCGCCUCUGGAACAAGAAUCUCAACUGGUUUUGGUUCGUCUCUCCUGCACACUUCGGAGCAGCUGAUGCCUGCAUUGUUCUUCCUGCACCUUUACUCUCAAUCCACUACUCACUCCCUGCUCCACAUGCUAACAGCCAUGCAGUAAUUGAAACUGGCCAAGUGAUGCACCAAUCACUUGAGACGGAAGAAUGUGACAAUCAACUCAGGUGUCCAGCAGGACUUACGGACUGGAGGCCAAUUUGGUGCGACAACUGAAACUGGGGACUGAAAGAACAUGAAGCUUCAGUCGGGGACGAAGACCAGCAGCCUCUCACUCAUCGACUCACCGUGAAGAUGAAAAGGACAACAGGCAUCAAUGAGACCAGCAGCUCAACAUUCACCUCACACAGACCCAUCGGAACCAUGUUAUGAUGUAUGUAACCUCCUGCGUCUCAGUGCUCUUGUGAUUCUCCCGCCAUUGUUGUAGCAGUGCAUCAACUUUUCUGUUUCUGGGCCUGCUAUCAUUUUGUCUCAUCCAAUUUUGGUUGAGCAUGAGCAUUGCGUAACCAUGUCACCAUUAGAAGUUUGAUACUUUUUUUGUACCUAUAUAUAUAUUGGCGGUAAUCACCUAUUCAUACGCCUGACCCUUAACAGCAGCAUAGUAAGGCAACUACAUUGGUGAAAGGUGCACAGGUCGCUGUACUGAAUGGCUUCUGGACCAUAUUGAAUGUCCCUCCCUCCCUCCCAUCUUCCCUCC